Cinara cedri is the source of this 315-nucleotide non-coding RNA. Lineage: Eukaryota; Metazoa; Arthropoda; Insecta; Hemiptera; Aphididae. The record is from the annotation of a GenBank genome assembly.
CCUAGCUGAUAUGAAAUAAUUGGUUAGAUACUUGCAGUGUAAUCAGGCCCUUCGCUAGAGUACAAGCAAGUCAUGCUUUGCUUUAGAGCGGCAUACAAUUUUAAUCAAAUUUAAACGGCAAAAUGAAAUUAGUAAUCGUCAAAAAAGAUAGGCAUCAUAAUGUUUGCUUUAAAUUGGAAAAUAUCUUAUGGCGGGCUUCAGUGUAGUUACUACUAUUAAUAAUGUUUGGUACCAAUAUUUUUUUCUGACCAGUCUUUGUUUUUACUGAAUGUUUAAGAUCCUGCUAUAUUUACAAUUUGUGAAUAUCUUUAUUUA